AGGAGUGUAGCUCAAUUGGCAGAGCGUCGGUCUCCAAAACCGAAGGUUGGGGGUUCGACUCCCUCCACUCCUGCCA
This 76-nucleotide transfer RNA is filed under the name Paracoccaceae bacterium. RNAcentral's name for it is "Rhodobacteraceae bacterium tRNA-Trp". It matches the Rfam family "tRNA". From Rfam's summary of the family: Transfer RNA (tRNA) molecules are approximately 80 nucleotides in length. Their secondary structure includes four short double-helical elements and three loops (D, anti-codon, and T loops). The record is from RNAcentral. RNAcentral also lists the same sequence under 6 other names. Lineage: Bacteria; Pseudomonadati; Pseudomonadota; Alphaproteobacteria; Rhodobacterales; Paracoccaceae.